Populus trichocarpa (black cottonwood) is the source of this 156-nucleotide non-coding RNA. NCBI's taxonomy places the organism in Eukaryota, Viridiplantae, Streptophyta, Magnoliopsida, Malpighiales, Salicaceae. The record is from Rfam.
UCUAGAACUCAAGUUUUGAACUGAAAACCGAACAGUAUCUGAGCUGCAGGACAGAUUCUGACUUUUCUAUUGUUGCUAAGAUUUGAACUUGAAAACGGCAGAAUUGAGUCUUAGACUCCGCAUGAAAGUUUUAGGUCUAUGUCUUAGCUUUCCAUC